UACGGAAGGCAGCAGUGGGGAAUAUUGCACAAUGGGCGAAAGCCUGAUGCAGCUAUGCCGCGUGUAUGAAGAAGGCCUUAGGGUUGUAAAGUACUUUCAUCGGGGAGGAAAAAACAAAACUAAUAAUUUUAUUUCUUGACGUUACCCGAAAAAGAAGCACCGGCUAACUCCGUGCCAGCAGCCGCGGUAAUACGGAGGGUGCUAGCGUUAAUCAGAAUUACUGGGCGUAAAGAGCGCGUAGGUGGUUUUUUUAAAGUCAGAUGUGAAAUCCCUGGGCUUAACCUGGAACUGCAUUUUGAAACUGAAAUACUAGAGUAUCGUAGAGGGAGGUAGAAUUCUAGGUGUAGCGGUGAAAUGCGUAGAUAUCUGGAGGAAUACCUGUGGCGAAAGCGGCCUCCUAAACGAAUACUGACACUGAGGGUGCGAAAGCGCGGGGAGCAAACAGGGAUUAGAUACCCGU
This 460-nucleotide ribosomal RNA is filed under the name uncultured bacterium. RNAcentral describes it as "bacterial SSU rRNA". It matches the Rfam family "Bacterial small subunit ribosomal RNA", at positions 340 to 789 of the family's 1533-position model. The record is from RNAcentral.